This is a long non-coding RNA of Lolium perenne, 301 nucleotides long. RefSeq lists it as uncharacterized. NCBI's taxonomy places the organism in Eukaryota, Viridiplantae, Streptophyta, Magnoliopsida, Poales, Poaceae. The record is from RefSeq and is a predicted model, not a curated record.
CGCUUGGCGUGCAAGGUGCAAUGCGCGCGGAGGAGGAGACGACACGGUCAUCCAGAUCUGGAGGCCCAAGUUCAAGGGCAUGGAAAAGAAAGGACUAAGCUGGAUGGAGCGCGAGCUGCGGGAGCUCUACACCUCCAUGAAGCCAAGAAGCUGAAGUAGUGAAGCGACACCGUCCCUGACCAGCCACAUCUUCCUGUUGUGCGCUUUUUCACUGCUUUGUGCUAGUCUUGCCCGAACCCCUCGCUAUCGUAUGUUUUUGGCGAAGUUGUAUGCCGCAGCAUGUAUGAUCGUUAAGUGUGAA